This 318-nucleotide ribosomal RNA is filed under the name Triticum aestivum (bread wheat). RNAcentral describes it as "partial small subunit ribosomal RNA". Lineage: Eukaryota; Viridiplantae; Streptophyta; Magnoliopsida; Poales; Poaceae. The record is from RNAcentral.
AUGUUCCACUGGCAGGCCAGUAUCAUGGGACCCUUGGACAGCCCGUUUACUGGUGGCCUAUUUUUGGUGAACAUCCAUUUCCCACUGGAUUAUCCCUUCAAGCCCCCAAAGGUCUCUUUCCGCACCAAGGUGUUCCACUUCCACUUUCACCCAAACAUUAACAGCAACGGCAACAUUUGCCUUGACAUUCUCAAGGAACAGUGGAGCCCGACUUUGACCAUAUCAAAGGCCCUCCUGUCAAUCUAUUUGUUGCUGACGGACCCCAACCCCAAUGAUCCUCUGGUGCCUGAGAUUGCUCACAUGUACAAGACUGAUUAG